CCCAGGGCUAACGCCCUGGGCUAUUGACUGCCGCCCCUUCGGGGCU
Small RNA from Planctomycetaceae bacterium SCGC AG-212-F19, 46 nucleotides. It matches the Rfam family "Acido-Lenti-1 RNA". The record is from Rfam. NCBI's taxonomy places the organism in Bacteria, Pseudomonadati, Planctomycetota, Planctomycetia, Planctomycetales, Planctomycetaceae.